Aegilops tauschii subsp. strangulata is the source of this 7813-nucleotide non-coding RNA. Lineage: Eukaryota; Viridiplantae; Streptophyta; Magnoliopsida; Poales; Poaceae. The record is from RefSeq and is a predicted model, not a curated record.
UGCCAGCCGCCCCACCCGAACCGAACCGAACCAAGCCCGGAUUCCAGCCCGGUCUCACCAGCUCCUCUCCCGUUUGAUUUCCGCCGCCCACCUGAUAACCCGCGGCCGGGCACGCCAGCGAGGCGAAGCCGUGUCCGGUAAGGAAUCGGUUGGUUCCCCCUCCCGCACCGCCUCUGCGCCGGCUACAAAAGGCGCCACAGGCGCGCCCCCUCCACCCCGCGCUCUGCCCUCCUCUCUUCUCCUUUGGAGCUUUCGUUCCGGCCGGGCCUCCGCCCUCGAUCGCCCGAGCCGCCUCCUCGCGCCUCGGCGACUGUUUCCACCCCCUUGUCCAUCAAUUCCCGAUUCGUUUCGAAUCGCGUUUGAUUUGAUUUCACUCGCCGUCGCCGUUGCCUUGCUGUGCUCGCAGGGUAUUCCAAUCCGGCGAGCCCGGGAAGCGAUCGAUCGGGGAUUCAUUCAUUUUGGUUUGCGAGUCUAUCUCAGAGUCGCGUGUCCGCUUCUGUUUGCAACCGUGGAUCCUGUGUUCCUCGUAUUCGUGUCCGCAUCCGCGCGCGUUGGUUGCAGGAUCGUCGAGCCUGGUUUUUGGAAUUGGAGCUCUGAUUGUGGAGCCGGAGGCCGAGGCAAGGUCAGUUUCCCGUGCUCGUUCAGACCGCUUCCUCUGCGUUCAUCCGUGAUUCCAGAUUUCAAAAGUUUGCGAUCUUCUGGUUCCCCGACCGCUGUGGUUUAUUCCGUAUCAUCCGUUGGUACGAGGUGUAUUAAUUCGAGGCCCUCGUGGAGGAUUCUUGUUGUACCGGCUGAUCUCGGUUUUGUUAUGUCUUGUGCUCUCACCCUAGAUGCAGAGGAAUCCAGAGGGCGCGCUAGUUCUUCAGAGGUGGAGGUUUGAUUUCUUUUCAUGGUUAUUCUGAUUGAUGAUUGGUUACGGUUGAGCGGUUAUUCUGAUUGGUUACGGAUCAGCGGUUAUCCUGAUAGGUUCAGAUCUUCUCGUGUGAUGAAGCCUAGGAUUUCUUACCAACCGGAACCAGCGAUCUGCGUUUGGAUAAAUGAUUAAAUCCCUCCCAACUUCAGUUUCCUGGUCUGCACAGUAGUCAACGGCAACAAUUCUGAUCUGAAUUCUUUGCUUCUCCAGAAAUUAUAAAUUGGAUUACACGGCAUAGCGGGAGCAACAUCUGCGUUUGGAUGAUUAUUAUUACCCCCUCUAUUUACUUCCUUCAUCUACACAGUUCAAUCUUAGUCGCUUCUGAUUUAGAUUUGUUGAUGGUUGUCCAGAAAUUGGGAUUAUACGGCUUACUGGGAGCGACUUGUCAUUCUUCCUCACCUGUGUUUGGAUGAUCAUUCUCUCUCUGUUUAUUUCCUUUCCUCCAUGGUUCAAUUAGUCUCCACACAAUUCUGAUUUGGAUUUGUUGCUCGUACUCCAGAAAAUUGGAAUUAUACGGCUUAGCGAGUGGUCCUCUUUUCCCUCGGCAUGGCGGUUCCUUUUCUGUGGCUCAACAGUAUUUCUUACUCAAUAAUAUAAUUAUUAUUAGAACACACCAGACAAGUUUUCUCUGCCUUAGUUUGUCAAUUCUUAGCUCUUGCAGACAUCGUCUUGGAAGGGAUAUAAUUGGAACCGGUGCUGUCUACCUGACCUUCCCAGACAAGACUUUCUUAUAACUUUUACCUCCUCAUUUGAAGCAUGCUUUAGCUGAGCCUCGGCAUGCGUUGCAGAUUCAUCUGCAAAGGCGCAAGAAUGGAGCUUCAAACUAAUGGCACAUCCUACAACAGAAAGACUCUUCUCCAUUUUUAACUCUUGCCUCUUAUUUUUAUUUCACGUAGCUACUUGUUCAUGCCUUUGAUUUAGGCUUUUUUGCUUCUGCCCCCCUGUGAUUGCAGAUUUAUUUUAGCCCAGAGCGUGUUGGUACUUGGUAGCGAGUCGAAAUCUGUUAAAAUUGGUUGGUUUGCAAUCUACCUCUAUGCGGUUCGAUUUGUUAUAUGUACUCUUAUCCUGUCGGCUGCAGGCCAUAUUUAGGAAGUUUGUGCUUAUGAGCAAAAUCUCUGUACAGUGAGUCAGGUCAGUGUUCUAUCAACGGUUUGUUUGGUUUAGUUCUGUUCCUCCACACAUUGGUUGCAGGAUUGGAUCUGGAAUGUGGAGAUCCCUGUGGUGUUGUAUGUUAAGGGGAUUUGAGCAGGUCAGGUUUGAAUGGCUAUCGCCUGUGUGGUCUCCUGGUUCUCAUCACAUGUUUCUUCAUCAUCAGCUAAUAUGAGGUGGAUUAGAGAGGUCCUGGUGGAUUCUUAUUGUAGCAGCUGAUCGCGUUUUUGGUGUGUGUUUGUGCUCCUUUGCUUGCAGCAGAUGCAGGAGUGUAGUAGUUCUGCACAGAUGAAUCAUAGGGGAGAUUUGGUUUCUGUUCGUCAUUUUGAUUGAUUGGAUAAUGAAGCUUUGGAUCUCUUACCAACCUGGAACUUGUGAUCUGCGUUUGGAUAAUAUAUAUUCCGUCCCAAUUCAAUUUAUUUGGUUUGCACAAUACAACUUAGCCCUUGGUAGUUCUGAUCUGUAUUCGUUUGUGGUUUUCCAGAAAUUGAGGUUAAUUGGUGGAGAUUUGGUUUCUGUUCAUCAUUUUGAUUGGUUGGAUAAUGAAGUUUUGGAACCUGGAACUUGCGAUCAGCGUUUGGAUAAUGAAUUCUGUCCCGAUUCAAUUUAUUUGGUUUGCGCAGUACAAUUUAGUCCUGGCAGUUCUGAUCUGUAUUCGUUUGUGGUUUUCAGAAAUUGGGCUUCGUAAGGUUUAGGAGGAGCAACCUAUCUUCUUGCUGAUCUGCAUUUGGAUGAUUACGAACCCCUCUAUUUAAUUCCUUCUCAAUUCAAUUUUAGUCUCCGACAAUUCUGAUUUGGAUCUGUUGCUGGUUGUCCAGAAAUUGGGAUUAUAUGGCUUAGCGGGAGCGACCUAUCUUCUUGCUGACCUGCACUUGGAUGAUCAUUACUCUCUCUGUUUAAGUUCUUCUCCAUAGCUCAAGUAGUUGCCCGACGAUUCUGAUUUAGAAUUUUUGCUGGUUCUCCAGAAAUUGGAAUUAUAUGGCUUAGCGGGUGGUCCUAUCUUUCCAAGGCAUGGCGGUUCUUUCUGUGGCCCAACAUAUCCGACCUUUUAUCCUCCCUUGAUAAUUGAACUUUCAAAUGUUAGUUUCUUUGCCUUGAUUGGUAAUUCUCAGCUCUUGCAGAUGCUGACUUGGGAGCGAAAUAAUUGGAACCAGUGUUGUCUACCUGACUUUCCAGCCGAGACAGGCUUACUUACCCUUUACCUCAACAUUUGAUGCUUGCUUUAGCUGAGCCUAGUUUUCCUCUUAUAACUUAUAGAAAGGUAUCUCCCUCGUUGCAGGCCAUAGUUGAUGACUCGUCCAACCUGAUGCUGACUUGAAUCCGUUUGCAGUUCUUCUAAAUCUAUUAUUUUCUCAAUUCAUCAGAACUUAGACAGCCUUCAAAAUUAUCUUACCAGACAAUAUUUUGAAUUCAGAAUUAUCUGCCAAGGUUCAACAAUGGAGAUUCAAACUAAUGGAACAUCCUACAAUGAAAAAGAGUGCUCCAGUUUUAACUCACCUCUUAUGCUACUUGUUCAUGUCUUUGAUUUAGGUUUUUCCUUCUGCCCUCCCUUUGGUUGCAGAUUAAGCCCAAACCAUGCUGGUAGUGAGUUGGAAUCUGUUAAAAUCGUUUGGUUUGCGAUCUAUCUCUCUCUCUCUGGAUCGAUUUGUUGUUUGUACUCUUGAUCCCUGGUCUUCUGCGUGUAUCAGUUGCAGGAUAUAUUUAGGAAGUCUGGGCCUAUGUGCAGGAUAUAUUUGGAUAUGUUGGUGGUUCUCCAGAAAUUGGAAUUAUAUGGCGUAGCGGGAGCGACGCAUCUUGCUGCUCUGUGUUUGGAUAAUUAUCACUUCCUCUGUUUUACUCUUUCAUCUCCACUGUUCUGUUUUGGUUUCCCACAAUUCUGAUUUAAACUAUUUCUUGGUGGCUCUCCAGAAAUUGGAAUAAUAUGGCUUAGAAGGCGUCCUAUUUUUCCUCGGCAUGGCGGUUCCUUCUGUGGCUAAAAACUUUCUCAACCUUUUUUACUCUAUAAUUGAACUCUCUAGACAUUAGGUUUUCUUUGCCUUAGUAAUUAUCAGCUCUUGCAGAUACUGACUUGGAAAGGAUAUAACUGCAGUUUGGAACCUGCGUUGUUGUCCUCCAUCAUCCAUACCUGACCCUAGACAGGCUUUACUUGUUCCCACUCAAUCAUCCAUGCUUUAGCUAUUUAUAAGAAGCAUUUCCCCUAACAAUUUUUUUUAUAGAAACGGUGUCUUGCUCACUGCAGGUUGUAGUUGACAAACUCCUGUCCAGCCUGAUGAUGAAUCCGUCUACUGAUCUUCGAAAUCUACAGUGUCGUUUCAAUUCAUUGCAACUUACAUAACCUAUAAAUUAUCUUACUAGACAAUUUUUAAAUACAGAUUCAUAUGCAGCACGAAUAUAUAAGAUGAUCUAGAGCCUACUAAUGGCACAUCCUACAACCGAAAAAGACUCUUACCUUCCUUUUUUUUAAUUUCAUUUAGUUACUUGGCCAUCUCUCUGACAUAGGUUUUUGCCCCUGCCCUUCCUAUGGUUGCAGAUUUUUCUUUAGCCCAGGCCAUGUGGGCAAUGACUAAACUCUUGAUCCCUGUUUUAUUGGUCUUCUGCGUGUGUGGGUUGGCAAUAUAUAAUUUUUAUUAGGAGUUUGGGCCCAAACCUUUGCUCUGUACAUGGAGUCAGGUCAGUGUCUCGUAGACGGUCUGUUUGUUUCAUUUGUUAUCGCCGCCUCUACAAUUUGGCUUGCAGGACUGGAUCUUGAUCUGGUCUGGAAGUAAAGCUCCUUGUGGGUUGUGAACGUAUGGUGGAGGGGACUCGAGGCAGGUCAGUUUCAUGUUUCGUCACAUUGGUUUACUGGAUUCCUCAUCUGUGCUUGGUGACGUCAGAUUUGAGUGGCUAUACAUUAAGUUCUUCGAUUCGUUCGGAAUCUUCUUCAACCACAAAAACUUACACCUGGACUCUAUGCCUGUUUCAACUGAUUUACCAGAUUUCACUAUGGUCUGACUUUCCUUGAAGAACUUUUAAGUAUGCUGAUUAUAUUUGGGUUGAUUUGCAUUGUUGGAGGUUUUAUUGCAAGAUUGUAGAGUUGGAUAGUCAGUUAGCGCGGGGACUUGGUGUAGCAAAUGGACUUCCCUGAUGGUUUUGACCUCUGAUUACUGAUCCUGAAGCAUAAUGAUUUGGUCUUUGUGGUAGUUUUCAGUUUGAACUUGCAUUCAGUGGCCUCAUAUCUUUGGUGCAGCUUGGAGUUAGUAGUGUGCACAUCUGAUGAUUCUUUCAACUGUCCUGAAGCAUCUUACUUGGUUUCUGUUGUGCCAUCCUACUGGUUACGGUAUCUUAUUCAACUUGCAUGUGGUUUGGAUGGAAUAUGAUCUUAUCUUUUGCUCGAAUCAAGAAAAUGCUAGAAGUCUCAAACAAGGGUCCAAAAUGGAAAUAUCAGUUCGUACUCAGUUUGUAUAGCAGAUUAUCAAAGUUUGACUUGGCUAUUAAUUACCUGGUUACCAUACUGUUUCAUGAAGUUUGGUUUUGGUAUUUGGCUGCUUGUAUCUUUCAACUUGCAAAUUUGUCACCUAAUAGGAAGUAAAGAUCGCAUGUACAUGAGCUCUGAAUGCAGUAAAAAUGUUAAGCAUAUUAUAUGAAUAUAUGUGAAUUGGUCAUACGUGGAUUUGUCAGUCUACUAUUCUACAUACUCUUGUCCAUGAUUGUACUUGGUUUGUUUAUAUACGUUCUUUAGGUUCUUCUUAUGGCACAAAAUCAAAUUUUGGUGUGCACAUAUUGUUAACUUUGGUGAUAAAGAAAGAUCCCACCCUCGCACUUGUGUUGGUUUAACAGUAGUGGCCCCCUGUAGUUUGGUAAUAUUGAUGACUUGGUAUACAGGAAGAGGUUAGGAGUUAUUGCUAUAUACAUAUACUAAAACAAUGGAGAGUUGAAGGUUCUGAACUGGAGGCUUGAACAAAUAUUUUGCCCUGAACACUCCACUCAUGUCCACUGAAUAUGAUUCUGAUUUGUUGGUAUGGAGUUGAUUUUCAGUGAUGUUCUUCUCAUUGGUGCUUCUCCAGUGAGAUCUGGAUUCUUCCAUGCAUCUUCUCGGUUUGCUGGGGAACUUCCUAGCAAAACAGUCUGGCAUUUGAUGAUCCCUAAACACUCUGGCUAAUUUGAUGAUGAAUCCUGCUGAUUACUUUCGACAUAUGGAAAUUUGUUUCCUACUUCAUUCAUCCUGGAUUUAAAGAAACAGCGCUCACACAUCUCUAUGGUCCUCCAAUGGCUAAUUUUAUCUAUAUUAUGAAAUCUUCCAUUACAUACUUACUGAAUCUAUAAUAAUUUCAUAUGUUCACACAUCUUAUGGUCCUCAAUGGCUAUUGACCUUCUUUUCCGCCGAACAGCUAAUUUGUUAUGGAUUAUGGAAUCUUCAUACAUAUUGUUAAAUAUAUGAAUCUAUAAUUUCAUAGCGUUCACGCAUCUUAUGGUCCUCUAAUGGCUAAUUGACCUUCUUUUCUGGCGAACUGCUAAUUUGAUCUGGAUUCUAACCACAUAAUUCUCUUUAAUUACAUGUCCUUACUUUUCUGGCAACUUCCUAGUUUUAAUUUAGUUGGUAACUAGCAAAGUACUAAUUUGAUGAUUCCUGCCGACUACAUAUUCUUAAAUUGAAACUUAGACAGACCCAUUCUGUUUCAUACUACAUAAUACAAUCCUAUAUAGAUUUUAAAGACACGGAAGUAUCUGUUCACACAUCUUAUGGUCCUCUGACCCUAUAAUGGCAUAAAACUACGAAAGCUUUCUCUGUGCAGAAGAUUUGAAUCACGCUCAUUCCACUAGAUAAAUUAGUUACUCCCAUUCAGGUUCUGGAAUUUAUGGCAUUCUUUGUUUGUGCCCCGUCUGUCUUAUGAUCUUGUGAAAAUGUUGCGUGAAUAUUUAUUGCCAAUCAUGUGUCGUGCCAAGCCUUUGUUGAUUGCGUGGCUUGUAUGCUUAGCUGAAUAUAAUUGUUUGUAGUGUUUGCCGUUUUUUGUGUGUAAGUAGGAGUAGUUUAACACUGCCUUUGCCGGUCCCAAGCCCGGAUGAGAAACUGUGGAGGGAACUGCGGUUAGCUCCUCUGUAUCGGUUGCAUUAGAGAUGUCAUGGUCUCCAAAUAUUUUACAUUGAGUGGCAGUGAAUGAAGUGAGUAGGAAGUGGCACAGACUGUCUUAGCCACUAGAGAUCUGGGCAAGCUUUGGAAUGAAUCCUUAGAGAAUCUGGGCAGGUGUAAUUUGUUGUCAGUCAGACUGUCCUCCAGGAACUUGUUGAUUCCUAGCUGUACAAGGUCAGUGUUUUACUUGCGUUCCCAGAGGGAAGUGAGUGUAUAGGAAGCUUUGAAUGAAAGGCCUCAUGAACCAAAAUUCUCUAGAGAAGAGUUCAAGUUGUGGGUAACUGCUUCCCUAGAAAAUGCUGCGGUAUUGUAGGUAAUGGAAGCCUGACCUGCAGUAUGCAAGCAAGUCGGGAUGGUUCACGAGUUCCCUGAUAAUUUCAGUUUCAGUAAACUAGCAGGUAUGGUUUGCAUGACUGAUGCUUAUACUGCACUUGGAUGGCGUGGUAAUCAUAGCAGUGAUUCAGGAGCUGGGGAUUUUGACAGUGUAGUGUUAAAAACGUUCUUAUAUUAUGGGACGGAGGGAAUACAUUAUUACUAGUUGAGUUAAUGAUGUCUACAGUACUAGGUUAGUAGAGGAAUUGUAAUAAUCUGUAAAAGCAAGUUCAGGGUGUUUUGGGAAAUACAUUGCUGGUUGUCUUUGAGCA